Molecule: long non-coding RNA, 1710 nt
Filed under: Gossypium barbadense (sea-island cotton)
Lineage: Eukaryota; Viridiplantae; Streptophyta; Magnoliopsida; Malvales; Malvaceae
Description: long non-coding RNA (GBAR_LNC003877)
Source: RNAcentral
CGUGAUGUUCAAUUUCACCAUUUUCACGGCUCUGAUAAACAUAAUGUAAAUACAGGGCUUCUUAGUUGUUAAUUCUGUUACUUGAUUCUUUACAUGUGUUUCAAAAACAUAUCUAAACAAAUGAGACACUUGAAAUUUGGCCAAGCAAGUAAAGCAAUAAGAAUCUGGGUUCCUCAACUUGCAAUACAUCUCCAAAUGAUUCCAGGGGGAUAGUGUUUCAAGAAAAGUCUUAUAUACCACGCUUUUGAAAUUUCAAAAACAUCAUCCCACAACAUUUUACGUCUGCCUGCUUUGGAUUUAGCCCAUCAACAGAAAUGGGCCUCAAUUUCAACAAAUCGUGUCUUAUGUAACCUAAGAAGUAAGAACCAAACCAUUCACCUUUUUUCUUUUUUCUUUCUUUUUUUUGUUAUUUGUUAUUUGUUAUUUGUUGAAGGUGACUUUAUAUUUUCUUUGAAAUUUCUAUUCAAUAACCAUUAUUAAUCAUCACGGAAAGCAAAAAGAAUUCAUAUUUAUAAAAAUUUAAAAUAAGAUGCAAAUAAGAAAGGGUAAAAAUUAGAUAUUAUAAGUCAAUCAUGUUUUAAAUUUAAAUCUACGUAUUUUUUUAUAGAUUUUAUAUAAAAGAUUAAAAGAAAUCUCUAGUCCCUUUCACAAAAUUAGAGCAAAUAACGAUCUUGAUUUAAUAAAUUUAAUCUGCAAUGUUUUUGUAUUAUGUUAAUAUUUGCACAGAAUAUAUAAAUAUUGAGGGUCAAAUUAUUAUACCGAUUAAAAUUAUGUACAACUGACAGAAAACAUUAAUGUCGUGAUUUAUUUGUUCUCGGUUGCUCACUUUUGAAAUAAACAGGAUUAAAUUGGUUCAAAAUUUUUUGAAAGGGAUCAAUUUGCUCAAUAUUAUAUUCCAAAAAGAUGACGUAAGUUCGAAUAUUAGACACGACAUUAUUGAAAGAGGCAAUCAUGAGCAUCGAAUAUCAACUUUAAAAAGACAUAGGAAAAUACCAAAAAAAAAGUAAUUAAGGAAGGCGCGGCAGAGUUAGAAAGAGCAUAUGUGUUCCUACAUAAAGAAAAAAAAAGGGGUUUUGAAAGGCUUCAUAUAAUUUUGUUGAAUUUCGGGAACUUUUAAUGUAAUUUUGUUGAACCUUUGACAUGAUUUUGAUAACUUUUCAGUAACCUUUAAAGUAAUAUUUAAUAAACUUGGAUAUAAUUUUAGUAAUUCUUGGUAUAAGUUCACCAAAAGCAAAAAAAGUAGCAACAUAUAAACAAAAUAAACACUAUUGAGUAUUGACAUAUUAUAUCAUUCACCUUUAAAACAUAAUUAGUGCUUUUCAACUUUUGUUUGACAGCAAUAGGUAGGGGGACCUUUCGGCUUUCCUAUGAGCCUAAACUGGUACCCCAAGAGACGGGGGCAUAGAAACCCAAAAUCAAUGGGACACACAUCUUCAGCAACAAAACUUUCACCCUACAAAUGUAGUUGAAACCUUGUUUUGGACCUUCUAGUGGAGUGUCUCCCCGGACAUCACUAACACACCCAGGUUCAGAUGCUAACUAUCAAGUUUAAUUACCUGAUAGCUUUUCAGACUUGUAAUGGAAGUGUUAAGAAUACCGAGGUUUUGACAACUUACCUGUAACUUGGGUUGUAAGAAAUUUUCUUGUCCUCUCCUCCUAUAGAAAUUCAACUACCAUGUAAUAUAGAAGAGCUUGAUUGCCUUUGAAAUU